UGCCACUGGGAGAGGAUCUCUUUCUGGAGAUCCCUCUUUGAUGAAGCUUUCCCCUGUGAAUUUAGGAUCUUCUGGUAUGGGUUUGAGAAUAAAGACAAAAAUACAUCACACGUGACUGGAAGUGUGUAUUUUUCAGAGGGACAUCUUGUGUGGAUGAACCUCUGUUGUUACCAAGAACAGAAAACUUGAAAUCAUCCAGAACUCCUUAUGUUCACCACAACUGAAGCAACUGCAGACAGCAAUGCUGAACUGUCAAACCAGAUUAUAGAAAAAAGCAAAGAAGAUACGUCUCUUUGGUAAGCAGAGGUUAUGUCUGGCCUGAUGCUGGCCCGUUCACUGAGGACAAGUUCUGUAUUUAGAAGAGAGGUUAAGCUAGCAGGGGACCAUUUGUGUUUCAUGGUGAUCUAUCCGGGGCUGUUUUCUGGAGGUGUGAACUGAGGCUUCCCUGCUGAAGCCCUGACCACAGGUGACAGCUGAGGGCAAAGACACUUUCCACAGUGCUGGUUUUUAUGUGUUUGGACAAAUCAAAUUUAGUAACUACCAAUUGUCAGCAUUUGUGCUUUCCUUGAGAGUGAAGUGAAAAUCAAACAAACAAUCCCUGUGAGUUCUUCUCUGAUAAGUUUGUAUUGAGCAGGUUUAAAAAAAGCAAAAACAAAAACAAAAACAAAACGGUGGUUAUUUGCCAUUGGGGUUAAUGAGCCCUAUGCUGGGGAAAGGCAGUGCAAUCAGGACAGGCAGCAGUAUUUGUGUCCUCACCCAGCUAUCAUGCACUGCUCCAGCCAAGUGCCACAGCAGUCUCUCAGCUGAUGCUGUGCCUUUUCUGGCUAUGGGGACCAUCUCUACUGUGGCUGAAGAUGAGAACAGAGCUUGAAGUUCUGCAGAGUGUCAAAGUUGUACUGAGUCCAGAGCAAGGAGGCAGAUACGCAGCAUGUCUGCAGGCCAUGGGAGCAGGAUAAGGCAGCUCCUGUAAGAAACCUGAACCUUGGAAAAAGAUUGUCUAGCCGUAAAAGUCCUAUUGCUCUCUCCGAGAUCCUAUGUUCAUUGUCAUAGGAUGAGUAGGACAGUAGUAUGUGUUUUUUUUCCCAGCUUUUUAGCUCUUCUCGGAGUGACAAGA
Molecule: long non-coding RNA, 1114 nt
Organism: Phasianus colchicus (ring-necked pheasant)
Lineage: Eukaryota; Metazoa; Chordata; Aves; Galliformes; Phasianidae
Source: RefSeq, a predicted model, not a curated record